This 575-nucleotide ribosomal RNA is filed under the name uncultured bacterium. RNAcentral's name for it is "bacterial SSU rRNA". It matches the Rfam family "Bacterial small subunit ribosomal RNA", at positions 338 to 916 of the family's 1533-position model. The record is from RNAcentral.
CCUACGGGAGGCAGCAGUAGGGAAUAUUGGGCAAUGGAGGCAACUCUGACCCAGCCAUGCCGCGUGCAGGAUGAAGGCGUUAUGCGUUGUAAACUGCUUUUAUAUAGGAAGAAAAAGACCUUGCGAGGUAGAUUGACGGUACUAUAUGAAUAAGCACCGGCUAACUCCGUGCCAGCAGCCGCGGUAAUACGGAGGGUGCAAGCGUUGUCCGGAUUUAUUGGGUUUAAAGGGUGCGUAGGCGGUUUAUUAAGUCAGUGGUGAAAGACGGUCGCUCAACGAUUGCAGUGCCAUUGAUACUGGUAGACUUGAGUGUGAUUGAGGUAGCUGGAAUGGAUAGUGUAGCGGUGAAAUGCAUAGAUAUUAUCCAGAACACCAAUUGCGUAGGCAAGUUACUAAGUCACAACUGACGCUGAGGCACGAAAGUGUGGGUAUCAAACAGGAUUAGAUACCCUGGUAGUCCACACUGUAAACGAUGAUAACUAACUGUUGGCUUUUGGGUCAGUGGUACAGAGAAAUCGUUAAGUUAUCCACCUGGGGAGUACGCCGGCAACGGUGAAACUCAAAGGAAUUGACGG